AGAUGGGGUGAUCAGGAGAAGGGUGAGGUCAUCAAGGGGAGAGGCAGGGAAUGCAGAAAAGGUCUGCUGCAGACGAGGGGAUUGGUGAGAAUUUUCUCUUGUCACAAAUGCUAGUGGGGGCAGCCCAGGGUACUGAGACUUCCAGUUGCUGGCACCUGAGAGAGACAGUCUCAAAGGGCAGUGCUGUGAUUUGCAGAUGGGCUCUGUGGCUUCCCGGUGACCCUCGAUGAUCAUUGGCCCCUCCAGGUCUCAGCGUCCUCCGCUGUGAAAUGCACUGGCCACACUGCAGGGCCACCCAGGGGAUGGCGUGAGGGGGUGGAGGAUGGUGCCUCAGGCCACAGGCAACCAGACUGGCGCUGGGCCUGAAUCCGACCUUCACACUGAGCCUAUCCCUUCCCUUUUUGUGAUUUUUUGGUUUUGAGACGGGGUCUUGCUAAGUCACUCAGGCUGCGCUUCAGCUUACAACUCUCCUGACUCAGCUUCCCAGAGUACUGCGGUUAUAGGCGAGCUUCCGCCUACAUUUAUUAUUUUUAUUUUUUUAUUUUUUUAAUCCUUCAUGUAUGCAUUACAUUUACUAUUUAUUAUUUGGUGGUGCUGCGGACUGAUCCUGGGGUCAAGCACGUGGCAGGCAAUCGCUUUGCCACCUGCUGCAAAAAUGAGCCCUAGUUUUCCUUCUGUCUAAAAAGAACUUCGAUUUGAUUCAAGGUGCCAUCCAGAAGGCAGAGCCCUGCCCUGUGAGGCCUGCAUGGCAGCACUGCUAAGGAUGGUUCACAUGUCCAUCCGGGGAGAGGAUGGAGACCCGAGGUCACUUGGGGCAGGUCUGGGUCGGGCCUCUGCCACUGAACUGAAUCUCAGAAGGUAAUUAAUAAGGAUGCAGGUGGGGAAAAAGGUCACCGCAUUAAGUGGUAUUCAACUUUGGGAUUCCUCCUGGAGCCUGCAUCACCCCGUCCAACCCAAACAGCCAUAAAAACCAGAUUAAUUGUUUAGAAGGGCAAAAGGCCAAGUGAGCUGAAAUAGCAGGUUCUCCAUUUAUGAAGUCAACAAAACCAUCUUUGUGUGCGCUUCCUGGAGCACCGCGUUCACCGCAGUGGCUCUGUGCGUGACCCCGCUGCAGGGGCCCCGGAUGGGCUGGGCACAGGGCGCCCCUCAUGCACGUGCUCAGCUUGCAAUCGCACAGGCCUGCUAGGUCCAAAACUGCCAGUUGCUUAGGCAAUAUAGAAUCACACACAGUUAACCUCCUGCAGUACAGACACUCCAUGGACUGUGCUACAGCCACUUUCCAUACAGACAUGCAUAUACAUAUAUACUUUUUUUUUGGUGUUUCAGACAGUGGCUCACUACACAGCCCAGGUUGGCUUUGAACUUGCAGCGACCCUCCUGCCUCAGCCUCCUCAUCUCCUCGAAGUGAUGGGUCUUUCUGUGCAAAGGCUGGGUGGAUUUAACACUGCUCUUUUCUUCUAGGUGGCUCUCUCAGGUAACAAAGGCACCUUACCAGUGAGCUCACUGCCUCUGGUUGCCAGAUGCCAGGAGGCAGGUCCUGGAGCUGCCCUCCUCCACUCUGGCUUUAGAAGCGUCUGCAGCUGGCUGUGGUGGUGCAUUCCUAGAAUCCCAGUCCUUGGGAGGCUGAGGCAGGAGGAUUGCUACUUUACAGAGUGAGAUCUGUUUCAAAAACAACAAAAAACCAAAGUCAACACCAAAAUCACAAUGAAUGCAGCUGAGCAUGGUGCAGUCUGUCUGUGAUUUCAGCAUUCACGAGGCUGAGGCAGAAGGCUUGCCACAAAUUCAAGGCCAGCCUGAAUUACCCAGUGAGACCCUGUCUCAAAACACCAAAACCGAAAUCCAAAUAAAUACAGCAAAUAAAAAUUUCUGGAUUUACAUAAUUUAUUGUUUUAACUUUUUCAAAGAACAUAUAUCACUUAAAAAAAUAAAUGCAAAGUUUGCUCAUUUUGUAAUACACAUAUUUACAAGCUUGUUCCAUCUCUACAUGUGGUAAAAUUAUAUUUUCCACAAUUCCACAUUACUGUCACUUGCAAAAUAUUUUUCCAACAAAGUCUCCAUUUUCGUUGGUCCACUAUCUUCUUCCUUUCCUGGAUCUUGGGUUCUUUUUGGCUUCAUUGUAUUUCUUUUUAAAAAGCUUUUUUUCAAUUAGGCUCACUUCGUCGUGGAGGAGGGCAGCCUUUACUCGCAGCAGGAAGGCGAAGAGGUUUAGUAGAAACUGAUAGCUCAGGGAGAAAUUGGACUCUUCGUAGGUGGUCACGUGUUUGCAGUAGCUGGGAGAGAAGGGCAGGGAGUGGGUUACUUCCUGCCGUAACUCAGAAAUGUGCUGGGCGUGGUGUGGAGGGCACAUCUGUGGUCCUAGCACUCGGGAGGCCGAGGCGGGAGGAUCACUGCUAGUUCAAGGCCAGUAUGGGUCACAUGGAGAGACCCUAACUCAAACCCAAACCCACCACAGAUCGAAACGACUGCCCUCGACGAUAGCCCUGAGCUCUGAAGCAUCACCUACCUUCUGCAGAAUUUCUGGGUGCUCAGCCAGUAUAAGGAGUUCUUGGUCACCAGUGCCUGGCCUUUUUUUAGCAGGACACCCCCAAGACUGUGGCUGUGGAAACAGGGCCGGCCGGGGUCGCCUUCGGCCCAGCUGAGCUGGAAACUCGCAGCGCUUUUCUUCGUCACGGUUGGGGCUGGAUCCAGCAGGGUGCUGAACUGCUUCUGCAGAUUAACCACCACUUCUGGAGAUGCAAGGAAAAGGGAGGUGUGACGCACGCACACAAGCAGUGCCAUGUUACACGCCAGUCUGGUGCGCCAGCUUCCUGGUUCUGAGAGAACAUUUCACAGCAGAGAAUGAGGGUGGCGCUGGGCAAGACAGAAACUGGAUAAAGGGCAAAGAACCACGUAAGAAAACACCAUUACAAAUGGCAAAUUUGAGGUAUAGUUUAUCCAGAUUUAAAGAGAGCUGGGAAUGGUAUGCAUGUCUGUCAUGCCAGCACUCUGAGAGUCUGAGGCAGGAGGAUACAGGUUUGAGACCACCUUGGGCAACUUCAUAAGAUCGUGUCUCGAAAUAAAAUAAUCUUUAAGAAAAGGCUCAUAGUGAAAGCCCUGAACUUGACCUCCAGAACUGAAAAAAAGUGCAAUCUGGAGUGAGAGUCUCGCAACAGUUCACAUAGCCCGAGGUCUGGCAUCUUAGAUUGUGCUGCUGUGAACUAUGCAGUGGCUAAGGGCACAGACCCUGAGAAGUCUCGCAGCGGCCGAGGUUCUCUGGGGAACUCUCCAUCUCGGACGUUUCCAGGAAGCAUGCACUUGCCCUGGGCCCUCAAGUGUCAAGCCAUCUUCGUGGCAGCUCCACAGCAUCCCCACCACCCGGUUAUCUGGAAGCCCGACUCACCCCUCCUCUUGUAGGCCACGGGCUUGUCAAUGUGGGAGUGGUAGAGUGGCUUUUCGCUCUUCCACAUGUACCUGUGCAAGGCAGAGGACAGCUGGGGUGGGAGGCUAGGAGCUCCUGGCACACUCAACACAGUGCCAGAGGCGGGGUCCAGCCCCGGCACAGUGGACGGUGCGGGCUCAAGCUGCGGGGCGGGUGUGCUGAUCACACAGAACUGAGUAACGGGCGGCAGGGCGUGCUGGUGCCCCCACCCCAGUGUUCAGGAAGCUGAGGCAGGAGGAGCUCCCUCCACAGCAUCUCCCUGUGGCUUCUGCUCAAAGUGAAGUUGCUAGAGUGACAGCUGUCCUUUGCUGCCUCUGCCCUCACCGAGGGCCAAGUCCUGGCACCUCCGGUUGGGUUCCUGCUGGACACGGCUGGCUGGGGACAGUUGCUGGCAUGGGGAGGGUGGGAUGGGACACUGGACUAACCGGGCCUGCAGGGUCCCCUACAGGGCAGAGACUAAGAGUUGCUGCAAUCCUUCGGGUUGCCGGUGAGCAGCCCUGCAGGCCUGAAGGGAGACACACAGACCACAGUGUCCUGGCCUAGUGCCACUGCAGGCUGCCUCCUGGAUGCUGUGGUCUGCAAAUAUGGUGACAAUGAUGGUGUUCUUUUUUUAAGGAGGAAGAAGAUUUUUUGAGAUGGUCUUGGUGUGUUGCUCAGGCUGGCCCUGAAUUCACUAUGUAGCCCAAGCUGACCUCAAACUCACAGGAAUUCUCCUGCCUCAGCCUCCCAAGUGCAGUGCCCAUGUCUGGCCAUAGAGCCGACCUGUAUCUCAUUCCCACGCCUUCUGAGCUCCACAGGUGUCUCAGAACCCGUGGGCACAACUACAGCUGCCUUUGUGCCCCAGGGCCCCUUUUGAUUUUGAGGUGCUGUGACGACAGGAAAGAGUGCUGAGUUGGAGAACCCGGCCCUGCCACUUCCCAGGGAAAGCUGAGUGCCAAACAAAGGUUUGAGAAGGCAGAGGCAGGCCGGUCUCCUCUGGGCCCCCAUGUGGGCAGGGAGUGGCAGCUUGCAGAGACUCAUGUCAGUGUGUGGUGACAAGUGGGUGAAGAUACAACCAGGUGAGUCUGACCUCUCUAGCCCUGCAGAGCUGCACGAGGAAUAAUAAUAACAGUAAUAUAAUUACUAAUAUUAUUCCCUACAGCCUAGAUAACCAUUGAACAAAACGAACCUAUCUGUGGAUUUUCCAGAAAAGCUGACAGGGAAUCGGAAGUCAAAAAUAUUUACCUCUGGUAACCUACAAUGAAUAGUAGUAAUAGUAGUGCUCCUUUUUAAUACUUGGAAAGAAAAUAUGCGUAAUAGUAGACAUUUAGUAAUCUUAUGAUGGCCAAUGACUGCUGUAGUCAAUUUAGAAUUGGGAUUUUUCUUAAGGAUUUAAAAAAUAAUCAAGUCAGUACCAUCAGGACUAUGAGAGACAGAGAAAGAUGGAGGGAGAGAAAGGUCCCCCCACGAGACAAGGUCUGGCUAUGCAGUUCAGGCUGGCCUCGGACUCACUAUGUGGCCCAGGUCCUCCUGCCUCAGCCUCCUGAGUGCUGGGAGUCCAUUUGGUCUCCACGCCCUGACCUUGUGCACCCACACAUGCUUCUCUGUCCCUGCAAGUGACUGGAAGGGAAGUAGAGCCACACUGAGUGGUGCCCUCAGUCUCUGCUUGGCUCUCAGGGGCUGCCCCAUACUCGGGCUAUCUCGUGGCCCUUGGGAGCUGCUGUGGCUCCAGCAGGGGUGAACAAGGCCAUACUCAGUGGCCCGAUGAUCUUUUGUGGACGAGAGCUCCCCAUGCUUGGGUGAGCAGUGCAGAGUGGAUGGCCCUCGUAUGACCUUGAUGUGCGCAUGACUUUGGGGGACAGGGCUAUGCUUCCUGCAUGGCUGCACUGUUCUGUAUCCGCAGGUGGAAUGCCUGGGCUUUGGGCUCGUUUCACCACUCAUGGAACACACUGCACUGUGAGUUUUCCCCUUGCAGGUUAGGCUGGCCUGGAAUUGGUGGGCUAUCGCUCUACCUCGUCCAGCCUAUGUGGUGCCCUGGGUUCUAGAUCCAGCACCCACAGGGAAAAGCUCACCUGAGGGUGAACUUGUCUGAGACUAAAAGUCCCAGCACUGAUGAGUCUGUGCUGAUGGAACGUCUGCUCUGGGAGGCUGAGGCAGGAAGGUCACCAGUUCAAGCCCUGCCCGGGCAGCUUAGUGAGACCUUGUCUCAGAAAUAAAAAACAAGAGGGGCUGGGGGUGCAGCUCAGGGGUGGGUGCCCUGGUGGUCCCUAACAUCUCUGAAGCAGCGACAACGUACUUGGCGCGUGCGUCCUCCCACUUCCGCCUCUGCUCCUCCAGUGUCCUCUUCAUGACGUGGUACCACUUCCUGAAACUGAACCAUGGCUUCCCUGCAAGAAACAGGCCACGAAGACAUGGGGGAACCGAACUGUGCAACAGUGAGACAGUGAGACAGGACUUCUGGGACCUUGGUCCAGGCGGAGUGGAACAUUUCCACAAUGGCGCCUGAGGUCGUCACCUCCCCCGUCUGCCUCUCCAGACAACAAUGACAGGGUCUGCUGCCGCAGUGCCACUGGGCCGCCACCUUUCCCCAAACCCAGCGCCACAUGCCGGCCCACGCAGACCAAGGGAUAGUGAGUGACACGCAUGUGAAGCCGGCUUAGCUGGCACUGGGUGUUCGGACCCUGUCCCGCCCUGCCAGGCUCCCCCAUAGCUGUGCGGAGCUCGGGAAGGCAGCAUGACAGGGCCUGCAGGGACCAAGGGGAUGGUCCCCCAAUGAAGACGUCUCUUUCGACUCUGCACAGAGGUGUCACCUGCACCAUCUGGCCUGGGGGCCCAUUCAGUGCCCAGGUGUGACCUCUCAGCAGCCGGGAAUGUCAGAGGGUGGCAGACGACAGUGCAGGGACCACGGCCCAGCCUGCGGGGGGCACAGCAUCCCAAGGUCUAAAGGGAGAGGUCAAGUAUCAGUCCGCUUGGCCUGUGAUCGGGCCUUGGGGAAGCAGCCAAAACUGCUGUGGGCCCCAAUACACCUGGAUGCUCAGAGCAGCGGUCAGAGGCCAAUCAUUGCCUCGCACAGGCUCUGGGAAGACAAAGCGACUGCUCCUCAGCCUCCUGCGCUAAUUAGAACAGGAGGACAGUGGGUCUGAGUUUAAGAACUCAAGUAUCAACCAGGUGUGGUGGUGCAUACCCGUCAUCCCAGCACUGGGAAGGCUGAGGCAGGAGGAUCGCUACUAUUCACCACUUCACUGAGAAGAAAAGGCAGAGGGACCAGCAUGAGCCAAGACUGAGGCUCAGGACAUCGUGGUGGCCUUGGCCAGGGGGCAGAACGGGCACUCGGAGUGGCCACGCACUCUGCACGGCAGGAGCCGCUGGUAGUCUGGCAGCUGCCACCUGGUAGGGGGUAAGCUGAAAUGUAUCCUUGGACAGGUGUGGCAUGUGCAUGCAGACGUGUGCCUGUGUGUGGAUGUAUUAUUCCAGUUCCCGCCCUGUGUUUACUGCAUCUUUGAUACAUCAUUUAUGAUCACUCUGAGUUUGACACACAGAAAAGUCAGUACCUGUUUUGUUCUUUUCAUUGUUGACUUCAGCGAGAUCAGACAAAGACCUAGGGAUAACAAUAAUCGAAUUGAUUUAUUUAGAAAUCACACAUGUGAUGGUACAUUUUGUUUUUUUAUUUAUCUAUUUUUUUGAGACAGAGUCUCCAUUUGUGGUCUAGGCUGGCCUUGAACCUGCGGCCACGCUCCUGCCUCCGCCUUUGGAGUGCUGGAUUACAGGUGUGCACCACCUGGUACAGCUAAGAGUUACAUUUUGAAUUCUUUGGAUAGAAAAGUAUCAAAUAGUAUUUGAAACAUUGAAUUUUCCUGGAGAAACAAUCACUGAGGCUAGGAGGAAACACUAGGAAAACCACUCUGGCCAGCCACCCCUGUCCUCCCAGCACUAGGGAGGCUGAGGCAGGAGGACUGCUGUGAGCUGGGGGUCACUCUGGGUUACACGGUGAGUUCAAGGCUGGCCUGAAUGGCACAGUGAGAUCCUGCCUCAAAACAAACAAAAAGCAGACGUGUGCUCAGAACGGAUCAAGUGUCACUUGCCAUCCAAUGGAAAUACUCUCACCACUCUACGCUGUCGUCCAGUAGGAAGAGCAGCUUUAAGACCACCACGAUGAGAGCCACAGCCAGCACGUCAUACUUCACAGUUGUGGCAGCUUUCGCGAUGGGGUCAAAGGUCAGGGAGUCCACCUCUCCCCAGCCGGUCAUCUCUGUCACCUGGUGGAUUAAUCCGUGCAUUUCAUCUGUUGAAGAGCAAAAUGGUCAAAUGUGAAGUGCUUUUUUUCCUUCGGAAUUAAAUUCUUUGGCAAACUACAGCACAGCAACAUGUGUACCCACAAGACGUGAGGCCACACGAGAGAGACAGGAGAGAUACACACACGAAGGGCACACACCUGAAACCCCAGCUGCUCAGAAGGCUGAGGCAGGACAACCCCAAAUUCAAGGCCAGCCUGGGCAACCCAGUGAGAGUGUCUCAAAAAUUUAAAGUGGGGCAUGGGGGAUAUAGCUCUGCAAGCCUUGGGUACAAUCUUUAGUUCUGGGAAGUAAGACAUGAUGCUCUGCUAAGGCCGUAGAACCUGAAGAAAUGUAAAGGCCAAGUCUCACCAAGGCCGCCAUCACUGUCUGCAGUGGCCCCUGGUUCGAAAUAGCCACUUUUUUUUCUUUUGAGACAGGGUUUCACUAUCUUACUAUGGAGCCCAGGCUGGCCUGGAACUAGCAGUGAUCCUCCUGCCUCA
Molecule: long non-coding RNA, 8171 nt
Organism: Cavia porcellus (domestic guinea pig)
Lineage: Eukaryota; Metazoa; Chordata; Mammalia; Rodentia; Caviidae
Exons: 2
Source: RefSeq, a predicted model, not a curated record